RNAcentral lists this ribosomal RNA (1284 nucleotides) under Triticum aestivum (bread wheat). RNAcentral describes it as "partial small subunit ribosomal RNA". The record is from RNAcentral. Lineage: Eukaryota; Viridiplantae; Streptophyta; Magnoliopsida; Poales; Poaceae.
AUGAAGGCUUCAAAGAUAUUCCUGUCGCCACAACUGUUAGAGAUCAUGGUGCAACGUAUCAGGGAAGGACAAAUCCCUCCUACUCAGAAGAUCUAUUGCCCGUACUCCAAGUGUUCAGCCUUGAUGUCUUUGAGAGAAGUGAUAAGCUCAUGGGCCUUAAUGUACACUGUUGCUGGAGGUCCAACGUUGAGAAAGUGUAUCAAAUGCAAGGGUUUGUUCUGCAUCAGCUGUAAGGUCCCAUGGCAUGCUGGGAUGAGUUGCUCUGACUACAAGAGAAAGUAUCCUCAUGUUCGUCCAGAAGAUGCCAAGCUGCAGAACCUUGCACAGCAGCGGUCGUGGCGCAAGUGUGUCAAAUGCAACCACAUGAUUGAACUCGCAGAGGGUUGCUACCAUAUAACUUGCGUGUGCGGCUAUGAAUUUUGCUACACCUGUGGGAAAGAAUGGAAGGACAAGAAGGCGACUUGCUCCUGCCGGCUGUGGGAUGAACACAAUAUAAUCCAUGAUCCAGGAGGACGGCGUAUUCCUGUACAAGAAAAUGUAAACUACCAGCUCUCAUUGAAAGGCCAAUGUGUGAGGAUGAAACUGCUAGAUGAUAGGAAAAUGGAUCUGAGACAAUGGCUUAUUAACCAUAUUGUAUCAGUGGAAGACUGGAAGAUCCUUGAUCUCCGCCACGGGGAAAUCAGUAGCAUUGCGCCCUCUGUGCUCCAGCUUGCAAGGGCGAUUCGGAGAGCGGGCAACAUCAUCAACGACGACCUCAGCGACACAAUCCGCUGGACUGCUACCACCUCCGGGCACUACUCCGCUUGCUCCGCCUACGCGGCACAGUUCCAGGCGCCAAUGGCACCCUUCCCCUCCAAGAACGUCUGGCGUAUCUGGGCACCUGGGAAGCUCAAGAUGUUCCUCUGGAUGCUACACCUCGACAGGCUAUGCUUGGAGUCCUCCUCCCACCUUUUCUGGGAAUGCCCGAUUGCUAUCCAGGCCUGGACAACGGCGGCAUCAUGGCGGGGCUGUCACUCCCUGGCACACGCUACCUGGAGCUCCGGAACGACGACGACGGAAAGAGUGAGACUGAUGACGGACGCGGCAAGCCCAACCGACAGGAAGGGCACCAGAUCAAUUCUUGCACUCAUUGCCUGGCACAUAUGGCUUGAGCGUAAUGCAUGCACCUUCCGCAGUAAGAUGCCGUGCUCUCGCACCAUCAUCGAAGCGUGUCGUCGCGACAUGGAGCAAUGGAGGAUCGCAGGAGCAGCCUGCAUAGAGCACCCCUUCGGGGAUGUGCUGUGA